Molecule: small RNA, 69 nt
Filed under: Flavobacterium sp. A45
Lineage: Bacteria; Pseudomonadati; Bacteroidota; Flavobacteriia; Flavobacteriales; Flavobacteriaceae
Description: Flavo-1 RNA
Rfam family: Flavo-1 RNA
Source: Rfam by way of RNAcentral
CCCUAGCCCUGAUAGUAGUGAAAAUCCCACGCUUUUGAGCGUGGAUUGUAGCGGAUAGCAGGAAAUAGC